This 687-nucleotide long non-coding RNA is filed under the name Cottoperca gobio. RNAcentral describes it as "lncRNA (ENSCGOG00000023227.1)". Lineage: Eukaryota; Metazoa; Chordata; Actinopteri; Perciformes; Bovichtidae. The record is from RNAcentral.
ACUAACACAGUCUCUCCUCAUAAUGAAAAGCCAGACUGUAAAACAUUGACCGUGGUCUGUUCAUCACAGGGUCCAGUGAAAAGCAGCAGCCCCUGUGCAUCAGUGCCAACAUUGUCACAAAAGCCUCAGCCGACUGUAGAGCAGAAUGUGAAGGAGUGCGCAGAGACGACCAGUGAGGCCAAACCAGCUCCACUUCCACAGGAACCAGUCACAGAGUCCAAGAGGCCAAGCUACGCCCAGAUCUGCCAGAGAGCAUCAUCCAAUGAGCCGAUGCCGCCCGCUGACCUCGCCUCUUCAGAGGCAGAGCGCAUCCCGACCUUUCCGGGCCAGGCGUCCCAACCAGCUCUGUUGCCACGAUGAUCAUAUUGGGUGGAGAAAAAGACACUUUUCUUUGUCUUUUUAAAGGUGUCAUAUAAGCUGAAAAUGUAUUCUUGUAGUGUCCUUUGAUCAAAGCAGCUGCUCAUUUACUACGAGGAGGACUCUGUGUGUGCAGAGUGAUGUGGUGUCACUCACAGUGCAGGAAGAUACUGCAUUUAGCAACAAACAGCCUUUAAAAGGAACUCAAUUUAGCUCUAGAUCUAGAAACGUAUCCCUUCAUAAAUGGAGGGGGUCUGCUGGCCGGUUUAGGACAGGAUGGGCCAGUGUAGGUCUGGGGUCGCAACCUCUCAGUUUUAGUGCUUAGAGCGA